Long non-coding RNA from Homo sapiens (human), 531 nucleotides. RefSeq lists it as uncharacterized. The record is from RefSeq and is a predicted model, not a curated record. NCBI's taxonomy places the organism in Eukaryota, Metazoa, Chordata, Mammalia, Primates, Hominidae. The transcript has 2 exons.
GCAUGAUCACGGCUCACGGCAGCCUCGACUUCCCGGGCUCAGGUGAAGCUCACUGUGCAAAUUUGUAUCCAGCCCAAACUACCGAUUCAGCUGAACUAACUUGUGACGAGAAAAAAUCUUUUGAGUUUCUGCAAAAGUGGCUAACUAACCCAAGUGAUCGAUGAGAAAGGAAAGCUCAAUGGAAUGCAAAGUCUGCCCUCCAUUUUCUCACCAAAACACAAAACCUCAGCAAGGAUGAAGUUAAAGGAGAUGGAAGGACAGUACUUUUAGAUUUAAAUGGUGUGUGUGUGUUUUAUAUUUUAAAUAGUUUUUUAAAUCAAGUUCUUCCUUUGUGAUGUUUAGAAGCAUCAAACCAUUCCAACACUUAGAAAUUAAUUGUACUAGAGGAUCAUGUGCAUGCUAAUUAUUGGUUGCUACAGAAACAGACUGGAUUUCCUAGAACUAUGUCAAUUUCAUGUAAUCUUGUUGUUUUCAAAAAAGCCCAUUUAUGAAAUGCACAUAUGUGAUUUGAUUAAAUCAUUUUGUAAGCCA